GAUAGUUCAUAGUCCUGACGAUAGUCUUAAUGGUUAUAAUUAUAGUCUUAAUGACUAUAGCUAUAACCAUUAAGACUAUAGUCAUGACUAUUA
Molecule: non-coding RNA, 93 nt
Organism: Paramuricea clavata
Lineage: Eukaryota; Metazoa; Cnidaria; Anthozoa; Malacalcyonacea; Plexauridae
Source: the annotation of a GenBank genome assembly